UACGAAGGGGGCUAGCGUUGUUCGGAAUCACUGGGCGUAAAGGGCGCGUAGGCGGCUUUAUAAGUCGGGGGUGAAAGCCUGUGGCUCAACCACAGAAUUGCCUUCGAUACUGUAGAGCUUGAGACCGGAAGAGGUAAGUGGAACUGCGAGUGUAGAGGCGAAAUUCGUAGAUAUUCGGAAGAACACCAGUGGCGAAGGCGGCUCACUGGUCCGGUACUGACGCUGAGGUGCGAAAGCGUGGGGAGCAAACAGG
RNAcentral lists this ribosomal RNA (253 nucleotides) under uncultured bacterium. RNAcentral's name for it is "partial 16S ribosomal RNA". It matches the Rfam family "Bacterial small subunit ribosomal RNA", at positions 524 to 776 of the family's 1533-position model. The record is from RNAcentral.